This is a transfer RNA of Toxocara canis (dog roundworm), 72 nucleotides long. It matches the Rfam family "tRNA". Rfam says of the family: Transfer RNA (tRNA) molecules are approximately 80 nucleotides in length. Their secondary structure includes four short double-helical elements and three loops (D, anti-codon, and T loops). NCBI's taxonomy places the organism in Eukaryota, Metazoa, Nematoda, Chromadorea, Rhabditida, Toxocaridae. The record is from Rfam.
GCCUUCUUAGCUCAGCCGGUAGAGCAUCAUACUUUUGAUCUGAUGGUGUGGGUUCGAGUCCCAGAAAAGGCG